This 1343-nucleotide ribosomal RNA is filed under the name uncultured bacterium. RNAcentral's name for it is "16S ribosomal RNA". It matches the Rfam family "Bacterial small subunit ribosomal RNA", at positions 28 to 1378 of the family's 1533-position model. The record is from RNAcentral.
GACGAACGCUGGCGGCGUGCUUAACACAUGCAAGUCGAACGGAAAGGCCCUGCUUUUGUGGGGUGCUCGAGUGGCGAACGGGUGAGUAACACGUGAGUAACCUGCCCUUGACUUUGGGAUAACUUCAGGAAACUGGGGCUAAUACCGGAUAGGAGCUCCUGCUGCAUGGUGGGGGUUGGAAAGUUUCGGCGGUUGGGGAUGGACUCGCGGCUUAUCAGCUUGUUGGUGGGGUAGUGGCUUACCAAGGCUUUGACGGGUAGCCGGCCUGAGAGGGUGACCGGCCACAUUGGGACUGAGAUACGGCCCAGACUCCUACGGGAGGCAGCAGUGGGGAAUAUUGCACAAUGGGCGGAAGCCUGAUGCAGCAACGCCGCGUGCGGGAUGACGGCCUUCGGGUUGUAAACCGCUUUCGCCUGUGACGAAGCGUGAGUGACGGUAAUGGGUAAAGAAGCACCGGCUAACUACGUGCCAGCAGCCGCGGUGAUACGUAGGGUGCGAGCGUUGUCCGGAUUUAUUGGGCGUAAAGGGCUCGUAGGUGGUUGAUCGCGUCGGAAGUGUAAUCUUGGGGCUUAACCCUGAGCGUGCUUUCGAUACGGGUUGACUUGAGGAAGGUAGGGGAGAAUGGAAUUCCUGGUGGAGCGGUGGAAUGCGCAGAUAUCAGGAGGAACACCAGUGGCGAAGGCGGUUCUCUGGGCCUUUCCUGACGCUGAGGAGCGAAAGCGUGGGGAGCGAACAGGCUUAGAUACCCUGGUAGUCCACGCUGUAAACGGUGGGUACUAGGUGUGGGGUCCAUUCCACGGGUUCCGUGCCGUAGCUAACGCUUUAAGUACCCCGCCUGGGGAGUACGGCCGCAAGGCUAAAACUCAAAGGAAUUGACGGGGCCCCGCACAAGCGGCGGAGCAUGCGGAUUAAUUCGAUGCAACGCGUAGAACCUUACCUGGGUUUGACAUGGAUCGGGAGUGCUCAGAGAUGGGUGUGCCUCUUUUGGGGUCGGUUCACAGGUGGUGCAUGCCUGUCGUCAGCUCGUGUCGUGAGAUGUUGGGUUAAGUCCCGCAACGAGCGCAACCCUUGUUCACUGUUGCCAGCACGUUAUGGUGGGGACUCAGUGGAGACCGCCGGGGUCAACUCGGAGGAAGGUGGGGAUGACGUCAAGUCCUCAUGCCCCUUAUGUCCAGGGCUUCACGCAUGCUACAAUGGCUGGUACAGAGAGUGGCGAGCCUGUGAGGGUGAGCGAAUCUCGGAAAGCCGGUCUCAGUUCGGAUUGGGGUCUGCAACUCGACCCCAUGAAGUCGGAGUCGCUAGUAAUCGCAGAUCAGCAACGCUGCGGUGAAUACGUUCCCGGG